AGCCAUCCUUUAAAGAGUGCGUAAUAGCUCACUAGUCGAGUGACCCUGCGCCGAAAAUGUACCGGGGCUAAAACAAUUUACCGAAGCUGUGGAUACCUUUAUAGGUAUGGUAGGAGAGCGUUCUAUGUGUGAAGAAGGUAUACCGUGAGGAGUGCUGGAACGCAUAGAAGUGAGAAUGCCGGUAUGAGUAGCGAAAGACAGGUGAGAAUCCUGUCCACCGUAAGACUAAGGUUUCCAGGGGAAGGCUCGUCCGCCCUGGGUUAGUCGGGACCUAAGGAGAGACCGAAAGGUGUAUCCGAUGGACAACAGGUUGAUAUUCCUGUACUAGAGUAUGUAGUGAUGGAGGGACGCAGUAGGCUAACUAAAGCAGACGAUUGGAAGUGUCUGUCUAAGCAGUGAGGUGUGAAUUGAGUUAAAUGCUUAGUUCUAUAAC
This 433-nucleotide ribosomal RNA is filed under the name Asterionellopsis glacialis. RNAcentral describes it as "partial Bacterial large subunit ribosomal RNA". It matches the Rfam family "Bacterial large subunit ribosomal RNA", at positions 1114 to 1556 of the family's 2925-position model. Lineage: Eukaryota; Bacillariophyta; Plagiogrammaphyceae; Rhaphoneidales; Asterionellopsidaceae. The record is from RNAcentral.